UACGUAGGUGGCAAGCGUUAUCCGGAUUUAUUGGGCGUAAAGGGAACGCAGGCGGUCUUUUAAGUCUGAUGUGAAAGCCUUCGGCUUAACCGGAGUAGUGCAUUGGAAACUGGGAGACUUGAGUGCAGAAGAGGAGAGUGGAACUCCAUGUGUAGCGGUGAAAUGCGUAGAUAUAUGGAAGAACACCAGUGGCGAAAGCGGCUCUCUGGUCUGUAACUGACGCUGAGGUACGAAAGCGUGGGUAGCAAACAGG
Molecule: ribosomal RNA, 253 nt
Filed under: uncultured bacterium
Lineage: Bacteria
Description: partial 16S ribosomal RNA
Rfam family: Bacterial small subunit ribosomal RNA
Source: RNAcentral